This 262-nucleotide ribosomal RNA is filed under the name uncultured bacterium. Its description in RNAcentral is "partial 16S ribosomal RNA". It matches the Rfam family "Bacterial small subunit ribosomal RNA", at positions 333 to 612 of the family's 1533-position model. The record is from RNAcentral.
UGGAUCCUACGGGGCGCAGCAGGGGGGAAUAUUGCACAAUGGGGGAAACCCUGAUGCAGCAACGCCGCGUGAGAGAAGAAGUAUUUCGGUAUGUAAAGCUCUAUCAGCAGGGAAGAAAAUGACGAUACCUGAGUAAGAAGCCCCGGCUAACUACGUGCCAGCAGCCGCGGUAAUACGUAGGGGGCAAGCGUUAUCCGGAUUUACUGGGUGUAAAGGGAGCGUAGACGGCGAUGCAAGUCUGAAGUGAAAGCCCGGGGCUCAA